RNAcentral lists this transfer RNA (88 nucleotides) under Lutibacter sp. Hel_I_33_5. RNAcentral describes it as "tRNA-Ser". It matches the Rfam family "tRNA". Rfam says of the family: Transfer RNA (tRNA) molecules are approximately 80 nucleotides in length. The record is from RNAcentral. Lineage: Bacteria; Pseudomonadati; Bacteroidota; Flavobacteriia; Flavobacteriales; Flavobacteriaceae.
AGAGAGGUGGCCGAGUGGUCGAAGGCGCACGCUUGGAAAGCGUGUAUACGGCAACGUAUCGAGGGUUCGAAUCCCUUCCUCUCUGCAA